This 1364-nucleotide ribosomal RNA is filed under the name Escherichia coli. RNAcentral describes it as "partial 23S ribosomal RNA". It matches the Rfam family "Bacterial large subunit ribosomal RNA", at positions 1291 to 2640 of the family's 2925-position model. Lineage: Bacteria; Pseudomonadati; Pseudomonadota; Gammaproteobacteria; Enterobacterales; Enterobacteriaceae. The record is from RNAcentral.
CGAAUGCUGACAUAAGUAACGAUAAAGCGGGUGAAAAGCCCGCUCGCCGGAAGACCAAGGGUUCCUGUCCAACGUUAAUCGGGGCAGGGUGAGUCGACCCCUAAGGCGAGGCCGAAAGGCGUAGUCGAUGGGAAACAGGUUAAUAUUCCUGUACUUGGUGUUACUGCGAAGGGGGGACGGAGAAGGCUAUGUUGGCCGGGCGACGGUUGUCCCGGUUUAAGCGUGUAGGCUGGUUUUCCAGGCAAAUCCGGAAAAUCAAGGCUGAGGCGUGAUGACGAGGCACUACGGUGCUGAAGCAACAAAUGCCCUGCUUCCAGGAAAAGCCUCUAAGCAUCAGGUAACAUCAAAUCGUACCCCAAACCGACACAGGUGGUCAGGUAGAGAAUACCAAGGCGCUUGAGAGAACUCGGGUGAAGGAACUAGGCAAAAUGGUGCCGUAACUUCGGGAGAAGGCACGCUGAUAUGUAGGUGAAGCGACUUGCUCGUGGAGCUGAAAUCAGUCGAAGAUACCAGCUGGCUGCAACUGUUUAUUAAAAACACAGCACUGUGCAAACACGAAAGUGGACGUAUACGGUGUGACGCCUGCCCGGUGCCGGAAGGUUAAUUGAUGGGGUUAGCGCAAGCGAAGCUCUUGAUCGAAGCCCCGGUAAACGGCGGCCGUAACUAUAACGGUCCUAAGGUAGCGAAAUUCCUUGUCGGGUAAGUUCCGACCUGCACGAAUGGCGUAAUGAUGGCCAGGCUGUCUCCACCCGAGACUCAGUGAAAUUGAACUCGCUGUGAAGAUGCAGUGUACCCGCGGCAAGACGGAAAGACCCCGUGAACCUUUACUAUAGCUUGACACUGAACAUUGAGCCUUGAUGUGUAGGAUAGGUGGGAGGCUUUGAAGUGUGGACGCCAGUCUGCAUGGAGCCGACCUUGAAAUACCACCCUUUAAUGUUUGAUGUUCUAACGUUGACCCGUAAUCCGGGUUGCGGACAGUGUCUGGUGGGUAGUUUGACUGGGGCGGUCUCCUCCUAAAGAGUAACGGAGGAGCACGAAGGUUGGCUAAUCCUGGUCGGACAUCAGGAGGUUAGUGCAAUGGCAUAAGCCAGCUUGACUGCGAGCGUGACGGCGCGAGCAGGUGCGAAAGCAGGUCAUAGUGAUCCGGUGGUUCUGAAUGGAAGGGCCAUCGCUCAACGGAUAAAAGGUACUCCGGGGAUAACAGGCUGAUACCGCCCAAGAGUUCAUAUCGACGGCGGUGUUUGGCACCUCGAUGUCGGCUCAUCACAUCCUGGGGCUGAAGUAGGUCCCAAGGGUAUGGCUGUUCGCCAUUUAAAGUGGUACGCGAGCUGGGUUUAGAACGUCGUGAGACAGUUCGGUCCCUA